RNAcentral lists this ribosomal RNA (450 nucleotides) under uncultured bacterium. RNAcentral describes it as "bacterial SSU rRNA". It matches the Rfam family "Bacterial small subunit ribosomal RNA", at positions 29 to 494 of the family's 1533-position model. The record is from RNAcentral.
AACGAACGCUGGCGGCAUGCCUAACACAUGCAAGUCGAACGGGAUCCGGGCUUCGGCCUGGUGAGAGUGGCGGACGGGUGAGUAACGCGUGGGAACCUGCCCAAUGGUCUGGGAUAACCGCGGGAAACUGCGGCUAAUACCGGAUAAGCCCGAGAGGGGAAAGAUUUAUCGCCGAUGGAGGGGCCCGCGUCAGAUUAGGUAGUUGGUGGGGUAAUGGCCUACCAAGCCUACGAUCUGUAGCGGUCUGAGAGGAUGACCAGCCACACUGGGACUGAGACACGGCCCAGACUCCUACGGGAGCAGCAGUGGGGAAUUUUGGACAAUGGGCGCAAGCCUGAUCCAGCCAUUCCGCGUGCAGGAUGAAGGCCCUCGGGUUGUAAACUGCUUUUGUACGGAACGAAAGGCCUCUUCUAAUACAGGGGCUCAUGACGUACCGUAAGAAUAAGCACC